This 272-nucleotide long non-coding RNA is filed under the name Helianthus annuus (common sunflower). Its description in RNAcentral is "hypothetical non coding rna". Lineage: Eukaryota; Viridiplantae; Streptophyta; Magnoliopsida; Asterales; Asteraceae. The record is from RNAcentral.
AAACAGACAUUCCUAAUUGAAUUCCCUUCACUUGCUUUCGGAAGUCCAGUCGUCGUCACCAUGAGAGCCAAGUGGAAGAAGAAGAGAAUGAGGAGGUUGAAGAGGAAGCGCCGAAAGAUGAGACAACGAUCCAAGUAGAUGAUGAUGCUUUCAUGUCGGUGUUGAUUUACCCUUUUCGUUUAUGUUUUGAUACUCGCUUAUCUUCUACGAAUUAUGUAGUGCUAUUUGGUUAUGGAGUUUUCUCUGUUUGCUUACUAUAUCAGCUCUUCUUC